Molecule: transfer RNA, 72 nt
Filed under: Gefionella okellyi
Lineage: Eukaryota; Malawimonada; Malawimonadea; Malawimonadida; Malawimonadidae
Description: tRNA-Lys
Rfam family: tRNA
About the family: Transfer RNA (tRNA) molecules are approximately 80 nucleotides in length. Their secondary structure includes four short double-helical elements and three loops (D, anti-codon, and T loops).
Source: RNAcentral
GUUAAUAUAACUUAAAUGGUAAAGUGAUGGACUUUUAAUCCAUUAAUUCGAGUUCAAUUCUCGAUAUUGACA